Molecule: unclassified non-coding RNA, 889 nt
Filed under: Hevea brasiliensis (rubber tree)
Lineage: Eukaryota; Viridiplantae; Streptophyta; Magnoliopsida; Malpighiales; Euphorbiaceae
Source: RNAcentral
AACCUAACCCAGUAGGAGAGCACAUUAACCAUUGCACUGUCUCAAACAUACAAACUCUACAGACUGAACAUAUAAAGAGGAAAGCUAAGGGAGGAAAAAAGGAAAAGAAAAAGAAAUGAGUAGAAAACAGAUUAAAUUGUGUCAACAUCCCCACCACAAACACACCACCUUUUCUUCCCUAACAAAUAAAUGGAAUUAAGAAAAUGCAAAACAUAAGUUAAAAUAAAAAUUUACACUUGUUUACAAGGCAUAGGAAUAAUAAUUCUUAAAGAGCACUCUACCCCAGGUACCAAAAACAUCACUUAUUUGGCAUUUAUUCUAAGUAAAGCUCAAGUGCCCUAAUGAAAUCAUGCAGGGUAAGAUUUAUCAUUAACCGUUCCUAAAUAUCACACGUCGAACCCUAACUCUAGUUCCCAAUUUUAUAGGAGGUUCAAGUUUUCCCUUGUCAUCCUCAUCAAAAAAGCCAUUCAAGUCAACUAGAUCAAUGCAGUAACUUUCAAAAGCAUCCACUUGUUCCUUGCUGGAAACUGUGACACCAGUAAUCAGGUACACGAAAAGUUCAACAUAAGAAACAUGUAAUCAUCACGCAUGAAAAUCAUCAUUCCGAGGUAAAUUUUAAUGUAUUCUUUGGCCUCGAUUCCAGCAUCGAUAUUGAAAAAGCCGACGCGCCUUCGUUUCUUGGGUUCGACGGUCGGAUCGGCGGUGGGUUGUUGCUUCUGCCCCAUUAGUUUUGGAAGGAUAUGGUUAGGGUUUCAGAGCGGGAAAUGAGAAAGGAGAGGCGGGAAAUUAUACAGUACAAAUGGGAUAUUUAACUCAAUAUAUGCUCCUGUAGUGCUGGUGGAGACUGGAGAGAUGGCGCGGGUAUCAACUCCCUAAUUUUUUUUUUUCA